This 497-nucleotide ribosomal RNA is filed under the name uncultured bacterium. Its description in RNAcentral is "partial 16S ribosomal RNA". It matches the Rfam family "Bacterial small subunit ribosomal RNA", at positions 28 to 507 of the family's 1533-position model. The record is from RNAcentral.
GAUGAACGCUGGCGGCGUGCCUAAUACAUGCAAGUCGAGCGAACAGACGAGGAGCUUGCUCCUCUGACGUUAGCGGCGGACGGGUGAGUAACACGUGGAUAACCUACCUAUAAGACUGGGAUAACUUCGGGAAACCGGAGCUAAUACCGGAUAAUAUAUUGAACCGCAUGGUUCAAUAGUGAAAGACGGUUUUGCUGUCACUUAUAGAUGGAUCCGCGCCGCAUUAGCUAGUUGGUAAGGUAACGGCUUACCAAGGCAACGAUGCGUAGCCGACCUGAGAGGGUGAUCGGCCACACUGGAACUGGGACACGGCCCAGACUCCUACGGGAGGCAGCAGUAGGGAAUCUUCCGCAAUGGGCGAAAGCCUGACGGAGCAACGCCGCGUGAGUGAUGAAGGUCUUCGGAUCGUAAAACUCUGUUAUUAGGGAAGAACAAAUGUGUAAGUAACUAUGCACGUCUUGACGGUACCUAAUCAGAAAGCCACGGCUAACUACGUG